ACCUACGGGGCGCAGCAGUAGGGAAUCUUCCACAAUGGGCGAAAGCCUGAUGGAGCAACGCCGCGUGGGUGAAGAAGGUCUUCGGAUCGUAAAACCCUGUCGUUAGAGAAGAAAGUGCGUGAGAGUAACUGUUCACGUUUCGACGGUAUCUAACCAGAAAGCCACGGCUAACUACGUGCCAGCAGCCGCGGUAUACGUAGGUGGCAAGCGUUAUCCGGAUUUAUUGGGCGUAAAGGGAACGCAGGCGGUCUUUUAAGUCUGAUGUGAAAGCCUUCGGCUUAACCGGAGUAGUGCAUUGGAAACUG
Molecule: ribosomal RNA, 305 nt
Filed under: uncultured bacterium
Lineage: Bacteria
Description: bacterial SSU rRNA
Rfam family: Bacterial small subunit ribosomal RNA
Source: RNAcentral